AGAUAGCCUGCAUGUCUAAGUAUAAGCAAUUAUACCGCGAAACUGCGAAUGGCUCAUUAUAUAAGUUAUCGUUUAUUUGAUAAUACUUUACUACUUGGAUAACCGUGGUAAUUCUAGAGCUAAUACAUGCUGAAAAUCCCGACUUCGGAAGGGAUGUAUUUAUUAGAUUAAAAACCAAUGCCCCUCGGGGCUCUCUGGUGAAUCAUGAUAACUAGUCGAAUCGACAGGCCUUGUGCCGGCGAUGGCUCAUUCAAAUUUCUUCCCUAUCAACUUUCGAUGUUUGGGUAUUGGCCAAACAUGGUGGCAACGGGUAACGGAGGGUUAGGGCUCGACCCCGGAGAAGGAGCCUGAGAAACGGCUACUACAUCCAAGGAAGGCAGCAGGCGCGCAAAUUACCCAAUCCCGACACGGGGAGGUAGUGACAAUAAAUACUGAUACAGGGCUCUUUUGGGUCUUGUAAUCGGAAUGAGUACAAUUUAAAUCCCUUAACGAGGAACAAUUGGAGGGCAAGUCUGGUGCCAGCAGCCGCGGUAAUUCCAGCUCCAAUAGCGUAUAUUAAAGUUGUUGUGGUUAAAAAGCUCGUAGUUGAACCUUGGGCCUGGCUGGCCGGUCCGCCUCACCGCGUGCACUGGUCCGGCCGGGCCUUUCCCUCUGCGGAACCCCAUGCCCUUCACUGGGUGUGGCGGGGAAACAGGACUUUUACUUUGAAAAAUUAGAGUGCUCAAGGCAGGCCUAUGCUC
RNAcentral lists this ribosomal RNA (740 nucleotides) under Trichoderma viride. Its description in RNAcentral is "SSU rRNA". It matches the Rfam family "Eukaryotic small subunit ribosomal RNA", at positions 41 to 796 of the family's 1831-position model. The record is from RNAcentral. Lineage: Eukaryota; Fungi; Ascomycota; Sordariomycetes; Hypocreales; Hypocreaceae.